Molecule: small RNA, 53 nt
Filed under: Arabidopsis thaliana (thale cress)
Lineage: Eukaryota; Viridiplantae; Streptophyta; Magnoliopsida; Brassicales; Brassicaceae
Description: ATSL225900
Source: RNAcentral
ACUAAAGAGAAAGAAGAAGAGGACUUGAAUACGGAAGCUUGAGAGAAUGAAAG